This 3028-nucleotide long non-coding RNA is filed under the name Daucus carota (carrot). Its description in RNAcentral is "long non-coding RNA (DCAR_LNC004562)". The record is from RNAcentral. Lineage: Eukaryota; Viridiplantae; Streptophyta; Magnoliopsida; Apiales; Apiaceae.
CUGGACAAGUUUCGCUUGAAAAGGACCUCAUACUUCCUUACGUUGCAAAUCUCGAUCUAUGUGAUGCCAAAUGUUUAUCAGAAAGUGAAUUGAAGAGAAGAACACUCCUAUUCUUUCGUGGGAGGCUUAAAAGGAAUGCUGUAAGAUGUUAUGCUAGUAUAUGAAGUGAUUCGUCUUUAUAACAAUUUGGUUAGUUUAUGUUUUUUAAUUAGACAAUGUGUUUAGAUAUCUAAAUUUGGAGGAUGGCUACAUAUUGAGCUAUAUUACAAAUGUCUCUGAGGUUUCUUCUAUUCUUCGUAUAUUAGUCAAAAUAUUCUUGUAUUAGGUGCAAGGACUUGAGUUACAUGCUACAAGAGUGGACAUCUUCUGAGCCUGCUAUUAGUUUGUGCAAGACAUGGUUAUGAGACUGUAUGAUUCAUCCGGCCUUCAUGAACAGUUCUUCUGUAGCGUCACUAACAUAAAUGACAAUGUUUAUUUUNUAACUAAAAGAAAAGCGUCAAAAAAAGAGAGAGAGCUGUCUACUUUCAAGUUUCAACACUCCAGCUGAAACUAACUCCGUCGCUUCUUCAUCAAAAAUGGCGGGUGGGAGAUCGUACGGAAACCCUAGAUUCAGAUCCCCAAUCAUCAUCACCCUCCUCUUCAUCAUCUCUCUCCUCAUCUACAUAUCUCUCUCUCCAUCUCGCCCAAAUCUCCCCUCAACUAAAUCACAAGUCCCAAUGCUCAACCCUACCGUCGAUUACUCCUUCCUCACCUCCCUCCAGAAAUUCCUCUCCUCUCCCUCCGAAUCUCGCCAAUAUCGAGACGAUUCAGUUGCGAAUACGGCGAGUCAGGCUGAUGUGAAGAAACUAGAUGACUUGAUGUGGAGAAGAGAGACUGAAAAGCUCUACGAAGAUUCGGCUUAUCCUGGUGUUUCAGUUGUUAGAGUUUAUGUUUACGAAAUGCCGGAUAAGUUUACUUAUGAUAUGCUGAGAUUGUUCUGGAAUACGUAUCAGGAGACUGUUAAUCUUACAUCCAAUGGUAGCCCCGUUCAUCGACUUAUCGAACAGGUUUUUUAAACUAAUGCAUGAUUUUUUACGCGUUCUUAUGUUAUCUAGUACCUUAAUUAGUCCACAUUGUGUGUAUUUGUAUUAGUUUUCAGUUGACGCGCUUAAUUGAUCUACAUUGUGUUUGAUUGAUCUACAGUGUGUGUAUGCUAUAUAGGUAGAUUAUAAGUCAGGUUCCUCUUGUUUUGGUCUCUGAUUGGAUAACAUGACCUUGUUAUUCUGAUGCAGCACUCGAUUGACUAUUGGCUGUGGGCAGAUUUGAUUGCGCCUGAAUCACAAAGGCUUUUGAAGAAUGUUGUUAGAGUUUACCGGCAGGAGGAUGCUGAUCUGUUUUACAUUCCUUUCUUCACAACAAUAAGUUUCUUCUUGUUGGAGAAACAGCAAUGCAAGGCGCUUUAUAGGGUGUGAGUGCCUUUUCAAAGGCUUAGCUCUUUUGUAUUUUAAAGUUUUUCUAUACCUUGUUAUCUUGAUUUGACUUUGAUUUUUGACUUCGAACUGCUGCCUUUUAGGAGGAAGAAGUUUGUAGCAUUCUGACCUACAAUUUUGUAUCACUAAAUGGUUAACCCAUGAUGAGAAGCUGGGUUCAACUUUGUAUAGUUUAUGAGUUUUCUCAUAGGUUAUAUACUGCGUGACAAGUAAAUCCGGCUCUAAGUUCAUGUGCUUUGGCAGCACCUAUUGUACUUUAUUUUUCUAAAAAAACAAAGGAAAUUUUACAUUUAUUACUUACGCAACUUAUGAUAUGUAGGUUAUAAUACAUUUGUCAACGAAGAUUAAUGACGAAUCAUGAAUGUAGGAUUAGCAUUUAGGUAAUACAUUAUUACUUGCACCAUUUCUUAUGCUUUGAAGUGGCCUAAAUUUAACUUGUGUGCCUAAAAGAGGAUGGGUAGACCAUAGGUAAUCUUGGCUAACACCUUUAAUCCUUGUUAGAUGGUAUUGAUUAUUGGAAACAGUGCUUAAUGAAAUCGUUUAGUUUGUGGAACCUAUCAUUCCGAUGACACUUGCAUUAUCAACUGUUUAGUAAUCUAUACUUUUUAGCUCCUUAGUGGAGCUGAACGGGAAGGUUUGAGGGUCGUGCUAGUUGCAUUAGUAGAUGCUAUUAUGUUUAACUGAGUACGUAGUGAAGAGAGAACAAGCAAAUUUGGGAAAGUCUGUACAUGCAAGUAUCAGUUUGACAAGUAAAUUUCCAUAUUCUCUAAAAAUUCUGAAAGCAUAAUUGCCUUACCCAUGAUGUCUGUGUUGAUGAAGAUUACUGCACUAUAAUCAAGUUGACUUUGCUUUCCGUAGUUGGUGCAAUGGUGCUUACGUUGUUACAGCCGUACAUGUAUAGUAGUAGAUUGCAACAUUUUUUGGAAUUUGCUUUCUGUAUGCAAAAAGUAUCAUCAUUUUAGUUUGACAAGUUCUCAUUAAAUUUAUUAUCACUGCUUUAUCUUAUUUAAUCUGGAAAUGUACAAUGUAGGAAGCUUUGAAGUGGGUAACAGAUCAGCCGGCUUGGAAUCGUUCCGGAGGAAGAGAUCACAUACUUCCAGUUCACCAUCCUUGGUCUUUCAAGUCUGUUCGGAAAUAUAUGAAAAAUGCUAUUUGGUUGCUACCGGAUAUGGACUCCACUGGGAACUGGUUAGUAUCCAGAUCAACUGUAAACACCUGCUCGUUAUAAUGGUAUGUUUCGAGCACAUUGAUAAUUCCACUUAAUGUGUCAGGUACAAGCCUGGACAAGUUUCGCUUGAAAAGGACCUCAUACUUCCUUACGUUGCAAAUCUCGAUCUAUGUGAUGCCAAAUGUUUAUCAGAAAGUGAAUUGAAGAGAAGAACACUCCUAUUCUUUCGUGGGAGGCUUAAAAGGAAUGCUGUAAGAUGUUAUGCUAGUAUAUGAAGUGAUUCGUCUUUAUAACAAUUUGGUUAGUUUAUGUUUUUUAAUUAGACAAUGUGUUUAGAUAUCUAAAUUUGGAGGAUGGCUACAUAUUGAGCUAUAUUACAAAUGUCUCUGAG